RNAcentral lists this ribosomal RNA (429 nucleotides) under Chloroflexota bacterium. RNAcentral describes it as "Chloroflexi bacterium partial 16S ribosomal RNA". It matches the Rfam family "Bacterial small subunit ribosomal RNA", at positions 355 to 776 of the family's 1533-position model. Lineage: Bacteria; Bacillati; Chloroflexota. The record is from RNAcentral.
UGGGGAAUAUUGCACAAUGGGCGCAAGCCUGAUGCAGCCAUGCCGCGUGUAUGAAGAAGGCCUUCGGGUUGUAAAGUACUUUCAGUCGGGAGGAAGGUGGUAAGGUUAAUAACCUUAUCAAUUGACGUUACCGACAGAAGAAGCACCGGCUAACUCCGUGCCAGCAGCCGCGGUAAUACGGAGGGUGCAAGCGUUAAUCGGAAUUACUGGGCGUAAAGCGCACGCAGGCGGUUGAUUGAGUCAGAUGUGAAAUCCCCGGGCUUAACCCGGGAAUUGCAUCUGAUACUGGUCAGCUAGAGUCUUGGAGAGGGGGGUAGAAUUCCAUGUGUAGCGGUGAAAUGCGUAGAGAUGUGGAGGAAUACCGGUGGCGAAGGCGGCCCCCUGGACAAAGACUGACGCUCAGGUGCGAAAGCGGGGGGAGCAAACAGG